This 6449-nucleotide long non-coding RNA is filed under the name Vitis vinifera (wine grape). Its description in RNAcentral is "long non-coding RNA (VVIN_LNC000118)". Lineage: Eukaryota; Viridiplantae; Streptophyta; Magnoliopsida; Vitales; Vitaceae. The record is from RNAcentral.
UGCUGGUUUUUUUGCUGGAGAAAAGCUUCCUCAGGCCACCCAUUGUUUGUUGAGGUAUGAUCCUAAACUCAUGCUUUUAAGGUUGUUAAUCUUAAUAUGCCAUGCUUCUACUGUAAAAUAUUCCACAGUCAUGCCAAUAGUUGUAUUUGAUGUGUUCAUUCUCACCUAUGCAUGUCCAUUUCUAUUCCUCACUACUCUACCUUCAUUACUUCAUACCCGUUUUCUCACCACCCCACCCAUCCUAACCAUCCAAGCAUAUGGUUUCUUUAAAUAUCCACAUACCCAUCACCACCAUUUCUCUCUCUAAACCUUCACAUGCCCCCACCACAUUUUCUCUCUCUACCUCCUACCACCAUGGUUCAAAGUCCCGGUAUCGGUCACUGACUCGGAGGGUUUGAGGCGUAUCGGUCUCGGUGUAUCGGCCUGGUAUCGGGUGAUACGUAAAAUAAGCUAAUUAGAAAAUUAAAAAAAAAAUAAAAAUAUUAUGUAAAUCAUCAGAAAAAUAUAUACAAUUAAAUAAGCUAAAAAAAUUAAAAAAAUAAAAUUGUCUCACAUUUAACAUUAUUUAAAUAGUUAUAAAAGUAUCUACUCAAAGUUAUUUAUGAUAAUGCUAAUAAAAAGAAAGUUAUUUUAUUUCAAAUAUAAUAACAUUUUUACUAACAACACAUACAAUACAACAAUCAAUUCCAUGUUGAAUGACGAGGGGGUUCAAAAUCAUCAUCAUCAUCAGUCCUACGACGAGCAUACAAAUUGGGGUGGCAAUUCCCGUAGUGAGGAUAUGAUUGAAAGAGUGGUUCAUAACUCAAAUAUGGUGGGUGAGAUGAUUGGCUUGAUGAUCCAUAAUUAGGAAAAUAUGGUUUCGAAGGCUGUUCGGGAUCAACACCAACUUGAUAGUAUCCAAAACCUCGAUAAGCAAUGCUACUGCUACUAGAAGAUUGAUCAUAUCCAUAUGAGUCACUAGCUCGUGUUCCAGUAUUUGAAUAUCCCUCUGGAUGCAUCAUUGGAAAUUUAUUAAAAUCAUUUCUACUAAAAGUACUGGAAGAGCUAUUACGGUCUCUAAAGUUGUGAUAUGAUCUAUCAUCUACCCCUCUGAAAUAUGGCCUUGAUCCUAUACCCAAAUUUUGUAAGUGCUCAUCAAUACGGUGAUGAUUUGAUCUAUGAUAAUCAUGCCCACUAGAAUAAUCAUCAUCGCUGGGAAAUGUAGUUAGUCUUUCCAAAUGCUUUCGUUGUUCCCAUAUCCAUGGUCGAUAUCCAUGAUCUGUAUCUUGUGUGGCAUAGUAAUUUUCACUUCCUUGUGCCCAUGACAGGCCAGGAUCUACUUGACUAACAUAACCGCCCGCAGUGCUACCAUCUCCCCCAAUACCCUCACUACUGCCACCAACUCCUCUAUUGCCCCCACUAGUGCCACCACCCCGCCUACUGCCCCUAUUGUCACCAUCAUCACUACUAGAACUUGAAGAAAUUGUUCUAGAAGCCUUACCUUUAUGACGGGAAUCAACAUCUCUUUCUCUACCUUCUUCAUUAGUGGGAAGACCUUUAUCCAACCAAUCCAAAUUAUCAAAUGAUAAAAUAGGCUCCUCUCUUUCUCCUAUCCACUCAUCUAAUAUAUCAUCAUCAUUAAAGAUAUGAUUCAGAUCAAUUGGAUUGUAUAAAUCUUCAUUGCUUCGCUCUUGCAUCAAAUUCUUAACUCGAAGUCGCAUAUUGUAGUGCACAUAAACUAACUUAUGCAACUUUUUCAUUGCCAAACGGUUGCGCAACUUUGUGUGAAUCAAUGACCAUGUGCUCCAAUUUCUUUCACAACCUAAUGAAGAACAAGUUUGGCUUAAAAUUUUAACAGCAAUCUUUUGUAGAUGUGAACCUUCGUCGCCAUAGUUGUUCUACCAUUCAGCUAUAAUAAAGAAAAUGCAUACUUAUUAAUCACUAUGAUAUAUUUAACAAAAAAUGAUGAUAACUUCUUAUUUGUAAUAGACAUAAAUGUAUUGAGUACCUGGAAGAGAUUGAUUUAUUGCUUUCUUUGUGAGUACACUUCCAAAUUCUCCUUGGCCGUCAACAAAUAAUUUCACCUACAUCAUUAACAAUUUUUUUUUUUUGUUAAUGCACAUUACAUAUACAAAAUGCAUUAUAUAAAGGUCACAAACUAUUAUUAUACCUCGUUAAUAGCUUUUUCUUGUCUAUCCAAAUCUGGCUCUAAUCUCUUGAUAACCUCCUUUAAUCCAACUUUAAUUUCCGGAUGGUUGGAGAAAUGCUUUGAAUAUUGGAACAUUGGAUUUAAAAAAUAUGCUGCCAUAAGUUAAAUAAUGAUCAGUUUAUAAUAAUUUGUACUUAAAAAAAUUAAUAAAAAAUAUAUAAAGAAUUUUUUUAUUACCUGCAGCAUGCAAAUGUUUGUGCAAUUGACCUUCCCACCUUCUAUCAAUGACUUCCCAAUACUUUUCCCAUUGCUUGACCGAUGCCUUGAUAGCCAAUUUAGCUCUAUCCAUUGCUUCAUAAAUGAUUGAUAGUGUGGGCUUUUUAUCUUGAUCAACCAAUUUCAAUACUUUGACGAGAGGUUCCAUGAUGGUUUGAACUUCUCCGGCCUUCUUCCAAAAUCGAUCAGUUAAGAUAAGGUUGGAUACCUUAUCUCUUACACUUUUUCUGCUCCUAUCUUUAUUGAAUUCACGCUACUCAUUUGUUGUGCACAUUCUCUUCAAAUCAGCCUCAUAACGUAUAAGACUCUCAAGUGAAAUGAAUUCAGUGGCAAAACGAGUUAUUCCUGGCCUUAACAGAUCUCUAUCCUUGGUGAACACUUUCAUCAAAUUCACCACUUCCAAGCUAUUAUAAAUAAAUCCUGUGAUCAUCUUAGCUUGAUCUAAUGUCUCCUUAAUCUGCUUCAUGCUUCCAAUAUCUUCAAGCAUUAAAUCAAUACAGUGGGCUGCACAAGGAGACCAAAACAAAUGAUUUCGCUUCUCCAUCAACAACAUACCGGCUGCUUUAAAACUUGCCUCAUUAUCAGUGACUACUUGAACAACAUUUUCCUCCUCAACCUCCUCUACAACUUUAUCCAUAAGGGAAAAGAUGUAGUCUGCUGUCUUAGGUAUGUUGGUAGUGUCAACUGAAGAAUAGUAUAUCAUACUUCUAUCACAAUAAAUCAUGAAAUUGAUGAUAGGCUUUCUAGUCUUAGAACUCCAACCAUCACACAUGAUUGUGCACUCAUAUAUAGGUCAUUUAGCCUUCAAUGUUGUUAUGUACCUCAAGUUCUUGGACCUCCUCUUCCAAAUAUGUAUUUCCAAUUUGGUAUCCCGUGGGACCCUUGAUGCCUGGACCUGCUUCUGCUAUGGUAUCAAUCAUUGAUUGAUAGUAAGACCCAUUGUCAGCUGCAUUAAAGGGUAUUGCAUUAAAGAGAAAGAAUUUAGAAAUAGCUUUACCCACUUUCUUCACGCCUUCAGUAGAAAACAAGUUUUUUAUUGAUUUCUGCUUUGAUGGGAACAUGUAGGGAUCAAUUCCUUUUGGAGGUAUGCUAGCUCCUUUUCUUACACUGAAGCUACGUGUCAGUCCGCGCUUAAUCCUAGCAUUAAAAGGUUGUGAGGAACUACCACCCUACUGAUGCUCUUGUCCACCUUCUUCAAAAAUUCGACGACUUUCUUUCAUUGUUUGUUUCAUUUGUCUUCUUUCAAAAUCAGCCAUAGCAACUUCCUCAAUUUCAUUACCAGAAUCACCCUCAUCAAUUUCAUAGAAAUUAUCUCUAUUUAAGGAAUUCAAAAGUCGUUCUUUUUUUUUUCUUUAACUGUGCUUUUUCUUUUGAAGUAUUAGACAUAUGUUGUCUAACACUAUGUGACACUUCUAUCGGUACACGUGGACAUCCUUCCACUUGUCCAGAUAUAUGUGCGAUGUGUUGCUUUAAUCUUGUUAUACCGCCAUGUAUAACUUUCCCACAAUAUUUACACUUUGUGGUUCUUCUACUACCACCAACAGGUUCUGCGUGCUCCCAACCAAUAUCAUGUUUUGAAGCCAUUUUGAAAUUUUAACCUAACCAUGUAUAAAAGGAAAACAAUUUACUUUUCAAAUUGAAUAUAUAUAAACACAUUUAUAUAAGAAUUAUAAUAUUCAAUUUUCCACUCACUUAUAUGUUUCAUAUUGUUGCCAUAUAAAAAUAAAUUGUACUAAAAAAGCAAUAAACACGAUCUCACCUAAGUUCAUCAUCUUUUGUUUUCCACUUAUUUAUAUGUUUUUUAAAUUAAAAUCAAUGUAAUUGACAUGUAAAUGCAUACCCUUCAUUCUGUAUUAUUAAAUCAUUUAUGAUUAUUUGAAGAAAAAAAUUUCAAUAAUGAUUAAUUUUGUGUAGUAAUUUAAUUUUGCAAUAUAGUAUUAAUGUAAUUGAGUAAUAGGGAAAUUUUUUGUCACUAAUAUAAUCUAAAUUUAUUUAUACUAAUAGAAAAUUGAGUGAUAUUUUUAAAGUAUUCAAGACAAUUUCUUGUACAUUAUAUUUUUAAAAAUUUUAAAAUUCAUGAAACAAUUUAAAAUUAUUAAUUAUGUCUUAUUUAGUUUAUAAGACAUAGGAAUAAUAUUUGAAAAGAAAUAAUAUAUUAUAUAUAGCAACAAUAUUAAACCAUAUAUAGAGAGUAUAUAUAUUAAUUUGAAAAGGAAUAACAUAUUAUAUAUAUGAUAUUAUAAUAAAAUCAUAGGUUUAUUUUAUUUUAUUUUUAUAAAAAAAAACUAUUUUAGCAUAUGUUAGAAACAUAAAAAUAUUAACAUCUUUAUCAUUUUUUGGGUUAAAAAUUAAUAAUAAAUAUUUAAACUAAUAAUUUUUCAUAAUAUUUUAUUUAAAUUGAAUAAUUAAUAAAGUUUAACUUUUUAAAAAUGAGUCAAAAUUUUCAUUCCAUGUACUCAUUUAGAAUUGAAUUAUCAACAUAAUAUUAUAAAAAAAAAUUAUUUUAUAUGUAAUUAAUUAGAUUGGUUUUUAAAUUUCAAAAUUAUUUUUAAAAAUUAAAAAAUUCAUGAAAUAAUUUAAAAUUAUUAAUUAUGUCUUAUUUAGUAUUUGAAAAGAAAUAAUAGAUUAUAUAUAGCAAACAUAUUAAACCAUAUAUAAAGAUUAUAUAUAUUAAUUUGAAAAGGAAUAACAUAUUAUAUAUAUGAUAUUAAAUAAAAUUAUAGGUUAAUUUUAUUUUAUUUUUAUAAAAAAAAAUACUAUUUAGCAUAUGUUAGAAACAUAAAAAUAUUAACAUCUUUAUCAUUUUUUGGGUUAAAAAUUAAUAAUAAAUAUUUAAACUAAUAAUUUUUCAUAAUAUUUUAUUUAAAUUGAAUAAUUAAUAAAGUUUAACUUUUUAAAAAUGAGUCAAAAUUUUCAUUCCAUGUACUCAUUUAGAAUUGAAUUAUCAACAUAAUAUUAUAAAAAAAAAUUAUUUUAUAUGUAAUUAAUUAGAUUGGUUUUUAAAUUUCAAAAUUAUUUUUAAAAAUUAAAAAAUUCAUGAAAUAAUUUAAAAUUAUUAAUUAUAUCUUAUUUAGUUUAUAAGAUAUAUGGCAACAAUAUUUGAAAAUAAAUAACAGAUCAUAUAUAGCAACAAUAUUCAACUAUAUAUAGAGAUUACAUAUAUUAAAUUGAAAAGGAAUAAUAUAUCAUUUAAAUUAGGAACACUUGACUUCCAUUAAGAUUUGCAGGACUAAAUCCUAUUAAAUCAAGUAAUAAAAUUCUAACCUAUUCUAUGAUUGAAUUAAAUUAUUAAAUAUAAGUCUAUAUGAAUUUGUUACCUAUCGGUCAAACGACUCAAACCUCCUGCCCAGGCUGCCCUAACCCCCUGCCCUCUGUUUCUUCUUCUUCCCCAGCAACACUGCGUUUUGCCUCUAUCUUCUUCUUCUUCCCCAAAACAGCAACAGCCCCUACACAGCAACACCAUGAAGGCCCUCUUCUUCUUUUUUCCCAACACAGCAACACCACGAAGAUGCUCUGAUGCACUAAUGCAGCCCUCUGUCUUCUUCCCCAAACCACGAAGACGCAGCCUCUCGUGGCACGAUCUGCUACCUUCCACCAAGCACCGCACCAAAGAUGAAGAUUAUAGACUCCGGCAAUGGUGGAUUUCUUCAACCGAGCCUCUUUUUAAAGGCUUUUGAAAGGGUCACAGACUCACAGGUUUGUCAAAUCUUCACGGUUUUUUUUUUUAAAUUUUCAUAGGUUUCAUAGGUUUUCUUUUGUAGAGAAAUCUCUGAUUUCUCUGAAAAAUCAAGAUUUGUUGUGGGGCUUUUUGCAGAGAAUCUAUUGAAUUUUUUCCCCGAGUUGAUCGAGUUAACUCGGAAUAUCGGUCGACUCAUCCGAGUCCAACCGAUUCAGGCCGAGUCUAGGUAUCUGGUAUCGGACUCGUCGCAGUCCACUUCGAGGCGGAUACGACUUGGCCGAGUCGUACCGGACUCGACCGAUUUUUUGAACGCUGCUUACCACUCAUCCCACUACCCAUAACCCUCAUCUUCAUUCCCAUGCAAAU